Long non-coding RNA from Cephus cinctus (wheat stem sawfly), 1005 nucleotides. RefSeq lists it as uncharacterized. The transcript has 3 exons. Lineage: Eukaryota; Metazoa; Arthropoda; Insecta; Hymenoptera; Cephidae. The record is from RefSeq and is a predicted model, not a curated record.
CGAAACGCGUAUCGAUCGACCGAACCGAAAUUGCUUUGGACACUUUUGAAAGCACGAAAUAUGAAGCCGUAGCCGCGUUUUCGAUGAUUCUUAAAGAUGCGUGUGCUGAGCGUGUGAAUAAUUUUACCGGACUCUUCCUACUUCCCAUUCUGGACACUGAAUUCGUAGUUGCCGGGAGCAUCGGUUAUCGUCAGAGACUCAUUAAGUACCAUUAGCCUCGUGCAGCAUAUCAAUGAAACACCUCGUGUGUCUUUCAUAUGGCGUCACGCUAUAAGGCGUCGGCAGAGAGAAAAAAGCAUCUCUUUCAUAUCCAGUCUCCUCGCUGGACCUUUGUAUAAGCACACUGCGUGGAUCUCGAAUCAAAGUGCCUGCAGUACACUGAAGCAGGAAAAAUCUUGGAUGAAGAUUAUUUGAGGGGCCUUGUCGUGAACUGGUAGGAUGGCGAAGGAGACAAAGAUUGAAGUUUGGACCGGAGGCUCGGGUUCCGGGAUUAAGGCCCCCGAUGAACCAGAAAGCCAGCCAGUUCCGCGAAUCGAAAUCCCCCCACUUCACAGAGUUGGUAACACUGGCGCGACUCGUAGGAAAGAUCCCGCGCGAAUUCUGAUUUCGCAAUUCGAGCGCGCGCGGGAGUCGUCGCCAUGUGGAGCCGUGGGGGAGGCACGAGGGGUAUCCCAGAGGUGGACUCACGAUCACGUGGUACGCGAACCAUCGACCGAUGCAAGAUUUCGCCGAGAAUGACGUCGCCGUGGCGCACGGGCACUGCGACGCGAAAUGCUCCGGCGGCAACUCUCGAAUAACUGGCUCUGCCCCCCAAGGACGACGUCCCCGACGGCCAGGCUGCACAAGGAUUGCGGCCACAAAGCUCACGGCGUCAAUUCGCUCGCUGCCAUCAAACGGCUCUAUUUAUACAUUAUUCAACGCAAAGGCCGAAAACUCUCGUUGGUAAUUCAGCACGAUGCACUAUAGCCGGGUAGCAACGAGUCGAUGCGAUUUGCGACAAAUGCC